RNAcentral lists this ribosomal RNA (798 nucleotides) under uncultured bacterium. RNAcentral's name for it is "bacterial SSU rRNA". It matches the Rfam family "Bacterial small subunit ribosomal RNA", at positions 112 to 933 of the family's 1533-position model. The record is from RNAcentral.
AACACGUGACUAACCUACCCCGGUGUGGGGGAUAACGGGUCGAAAGACUCGCUAAUCCCGCAUACGAUCCGCCUCGGCGGAGGAAAGCCGUAAGGCGCACUGGGCGGGGGUCGCGUCCCAUUAGAUAGUUGGUGUGGUAAUGGCGCACCAAGUCGAUGAUGGGUCUCUGGUCUGAGAGGACGACCAGACAGAUUGGGACUGAGACACGGCCCAAACUCCUACGGGGGGCAGCAGCAAGGAAUUUUCGGCAAUGGGCGCAAGCCUGACCGAGCAACGCCGCGUGGAGGAUGACGGCUCUUGGGUUGUAAACUCCUUUUGGGGGGGACGAUAAUGACGGUACCCUCCGAAUCAGGCCCGGCUAACUACGUGCCAGCAGCCGCGGUAAUACGUAGGGGCCAAGCGUUGUCCGGAAUUACUGGGCGUAAAGUGUGGGUAGGUGGUCGGUGAUGUGCCGCGUGAAAGCGCCGGAGUAAUGCCGGCGAGGUCGCGGUAGACACACGGACUCGAGGCUCGCAGAGGAACGUGGAAUUCCCGGUGUAGUGGUGAAAUGCGUAGAUAUCGGGAGGAACACCAGUGGCGCAAGCGGCGUUCUGGGCGAGACCUGACACUGAGCCACGACGGCGUGGGGAGCAAACAGGAUUAGAUACCCUGGUAGUCCACGCAGUAAACGAUGCAUACCAGGUGUGGGAUGGCGUUCGCGUCGUUCCGUGCCGCAGCUUACGCGAUGAGUAUGCCGCCUGGGGACUACGAGCGCAAGCUUAAAACUCAAAGGAAUUGACGGGGGCCCGCACAAGCAGC